UACGUAGGGGGCAAGCGUUGUCCGGAAUUAUUGGGCGUAAAGAGCGCGUAGGCGGUCCGAUAAGUCGGCUGUGAAAGUCAGGGGCUCAACCCUUGAAAGCCGGCCGAUACUGUCGGACUAGAGUCCGGAAGAGGCAAGUGGAAUUCCCGGUGUAGCGGUGAAAUGCGCAGAUAUCAGGAGGAACACCGGUGGCGAAGGCGGGUCUCUGGGCAACAACUGACGCUGAGGAGCGAAAGCGUGGGGAGCAAACAGG
RNAcentral lists this ribosomal RNA (253 nucleotides) under uncultured bacterium. Its description in RNAcentral is "partial 16S ribosomal RNA". It matches the Rfam family "Bacterial small subunit ribosomal RNA", at positions 524 to 776 of the family's 1533-position model. The record is from RNAcentral.